CCGUCAAUUCCUUUAAGUUUCACACUUGCGUGCGUACUCCCCAGGCGGACAACUUAACGCGUUGGCUACGGCACUGCCCGGGUCGAUACGGGCAACACCUAGUUGUCAUCGUUUACGGCUAGGACUACAGGGGUAUCUAAUCCCUUUCGCUCCCCUAGCUUUCGUCCAUGAGUGUCAGCUCAGGCCCAGUCACGCGCUUUCGCCGCUGGUGUUCUUCCCAAUAUCUACGCAUUUCACCGCUACACUGGGAAUUCCCGUGACCCCUACCUAGCUCUAGUCUUGAAGUUUUCACCGCCGGUACGAAGUUGAGCCUCGCGCUUUGACAGCAAACUUUCAAAACCACCUGCGGACGCUUUACGCCCAAUAAUUCCGGAUAACGCUUGCGUCCUCUGUAUUACCG
This 400-nucleotide unclassified non-coding RNA is filed under the name uncultured cyanobacterium. RNAcentral describes it as "contains 16S-23S intergenic spacer region". Lineage: Bacteria; Bacillati; Cyanobacteriota. The record is from RNAcentral.